RNAcentral lists this ribosomal RNA (465 nucleotides) under Vreelandella stevensii. RNAcentral describes it as "partial 16S ribosomal RNA". It matches the Rfam family "Bacterial small subunit ribosomal RNA", at positions 338 to 795 of the family's 1533-position model. The record is from RNAcentral. Lineage: Bacteria; Pseudomonadati; Pseudomonadota; Gammaproteobacteria; Oceanospirillales; Halomonadaceae.
CCUACGGGUGGCUGCAGUGGGGAAUAUUGGACAAUGGGCGAAAGCCUGAUCCAGCCAUGCCGCGUGUGUGAAGAAGGCCUUCGGGUUGUAAAGCACUUUCAGUGGGGAAGAAAGCCUUGGGGCUAAUACCCUCGAGGAAGGACAUCACCCACAGAAGAAGCACCGGCUAACUCCGUGCCAGCAGCCGCGGUAAUACGGAGGGUGCAAGCGUUAAUCGGAAUUACUGGGCGUAAAGCGCGCGUAGGCGGUCUGAUAAGCCGGUUGUGAAAGCCCCGGGCUCAACCUGGGAACGGCAUCCGGAACUGUCAGGCUAGAGUGCAGGAGAGGAAGGUAGAAUUCCCGGUGUAGCGGUGAAAUGCGUAGAGAUCGGGAGGAAUACCAGUGGCGAAGGCGGCCUUCUGGACUGACACUGACGCUGAGGUGCGAAAGCGUGGGUAGCAAACAGGAUUAGAUACCCUAGUAGUC